Molecule: long non-coding RNA, 647 nt
Organism: Gigantopelta aegis
Lineage: Eukaryota; Metazoa; Mollusca; Gastropoda; Neomphalida; Peltospiridae
Exons: 2
Source: RefSeq, a predicted model, not a curated record
ACAUUGCUCUGAAUAUACUUUAAUUUCAGAAAUUCGCAGUUUGACAUUUAUAAGCAUAUUUAUUUUAAGUGUAUACAAAUGUAAAAUAUCUGUCCAUGGAUUAAUACUACCUAUGACAUCUAACUACUGUGCUGUUCUGUUGCACUCGUUUCUUCAAAUAGAGGUAUGCUAUACCAUAAUCAAGAUAUGUCCAAUAUGGUUAAUAUGAACGACAAGACCAUUAUCAAGACUACAAUCGUGCCACUGCAGAAGACAGAAUCGAAAUGGGGUUUUGAUAAAGCCGUGAUUGCGACACUGAAUCACUGUCAGGUGAUUUGUUAAUAGGAGGACUGCCACUCUCCAAAACUAUACAUCCAACUUUAGCGAUACAUGGACUGCCACUCUUAAAUCUAAAUGUACACAGCAUAUCAUAGUAUAUAGUUGACAGGAAUCCAUAACAGAGGAAGAAACAAUUAUAUAGUCGUAGAGCCUUCUAUUAGUCCGCCCUAUGAAAUAAUUAUUGUUAGGAUCAGUCAUUAACGGACUUCAAUGGUGAUUCUUCCCGUUUGGGAUAAAAAAUUAAAAAAAACCAAUCAAAAAACCCCCAAACAAACCAUCCCAAUAAGUUAUUUAUUAAUUUGUAACUUGUUUCUUAUGUAUAUUUAUAA